RNAcentral lists this small nuclear RNA (354 nucleotides) under Castor canadensis (American beaver). Its description in RNAcentral is "7SK RNA (ENSCCNG00000023171.1)". It matches the Rfam family "7SK RNA". From Rfam's summary of the family: 7SK was discovered as an abundant small nuclear RNA in the mid-70s but a possible function has only recently been suggested. Two independent studies have found that 7SK RNA binds the CDK9/cyclin T complex (known as elongation factor P-TEFb). The record is from RNAcentral. Lineage: Eukaryota; Metazoa; Chordata; Mammalia; Rodentia; Castoridae.
GGAUGUGAGGGCGAUCUGGCUGCGACAUCUGUCACCUCAUUGAUCGCCAGGGUUGAUUCAGCUGAUCUGGGUGGCUAGGCGGGUGUCCCCUUCCUCCCUCACCGCUCCAUGUGCGUCCCUCCCGAAGCUGCGCGCUUGGUGGAAGAGGAUGACCAUCCCAGAUAAAGGAGAACCGUUCUUCGGUCAAGGGUAUACGAGUAGCUGUGCUCCCCUGCUAGAACCUCCAAACAAGCUCUCAAAGUAUGAUCUUGUUUCACUUCAUAGUUACAUGUCUGAGUAUAUUAUUUGUUACAAUGUUCUAAAAUUAGACAAAGAUCCCUUAGAAAGCAGUAACAUAGUUGUUAGCUAAUUUUU